CUUGGCGACAGAGUGAGACUCCGUCUAAAAAAAGAAAAAGAUAAAGAAAAAGAAAAAAAGAACACUUCGGCCCUGGCACAUUCCUUGGAUCAGAGGUCAUGCAAGGAACCAAGCUCUUUUGUUUUGGGCUAGGUGAAGGUUUCCUGGCAGAGGUUGCUAAGUGGAGGUUGCUCUGGGAAAAAUAUCAUAUAACCUGCAUGCAUUUGACAAACAGGAGGGGAUUUCUUGUCUCGCCUGCUGCUCCUGGGCUCCCUAGUUCCUUUACAGGGUUCCUGAACUGUGGUAAAUAAAGAAAAUCACUUUCUAACAGGCCCGGGAAGCCCAAGUGAUCAUGGAGCCUCGAAAAGAAAGGAACUCAUCCAAUUCAUACAGAAAUGAAAACUGUCCUUUUACUAAGCCCUGCAAACGGAAGACGGAAUACUUUGUGUUACAGAAUUCAGACCAACGCCGUGACUGGAGAUUCAUUUGCUUCUACACUGUUUUCUCCAAAAGAUGUUGAAGAACAAAGAGAAAAUGUGAAAGGAAAAAUCAAAUCUCGGGGCCCCAAACUCACUAUGCCAGUGCAGCCAGUUAAGCUUGGAAACAGAGCCACUCCAAAAUCUGCCUUUGUUUUGGUUUCUAAACAGAUAUUUGCAAAGAUGGAAGGCAACAUAUAUCCCAGUUGGCCUGCCUCACAAAUUCCUCACAAGGAAAAGCCUUGUAAGUCCCCAGAUUUUUACCCUGAGACAGACUUUGUAUAAUUUCACUGUGACAAUGCAAAUUGACAACUUAUCUGGACUGGUACAUAACGAUGACAAGACCGGAAGUGACCCUUCUGCCCACCCUCAGACAAAUGCACAUAUGCCUACUUCCUCUAGUUUCUGUUUAUUUUUAUCUAAUAGAAAAUGUAGAUUAACUGUGCACGAGAUGAAUGAAUAAUGGACUGUUCCUCUAACCCCCUUUCACAUGGAACCUGUGGAUUCAGGGAGGGUCAAUCAAAGCCUCACAAAAAUGUGACCACUCAGUUCAUUACCUAUCCUGUCUUUUUUCCUUUCCUCCUACCACUCCUGCCUGAUUUUACACAUUUAAAUGUUGAAGCCCUCAAAAGGCCCUGUGAAUAGUGAGUGGGCCCCAGAUCCUCCUGUGACUUGUGUGUCUUUUUCCUGGGUGCAUCCUCAAACUUGGCAGAGUAAACCUCUAAACUGACUGAGAUGUGUCUUAGACCCUCUUUGGUUUACAAGUCUUGCCUCCUCCCUGAGUUGCUGGAUGAAAGCAACUUCCUCUCUUCUUGCCUCAGUUUCCUCAUCUGAAAACUCAGAUCAUAAUCCUGGUCCAUUGAGGGGAUGAUUAUAAAAUUCAAUCAAAUGGAGAAGUA
Cercocebus atys (sooty mangabey) is the source of this 1354-nucleotide long non-coding RNA. RefSeq lists it as uncharacterized. NCBI's taxonomy places the organism in Eukaryota, Metazoa, Chordata, Mammalia, Primates, Cercopithecidae. The transcript has 3 exons. The record is from RefSeq and is a predicted model, not a curated record.